CCGCCCUUUAGAGCGUUUCUGAACUCUGAUGACUGCACCACCAAAAUUAGUUAUUAGGAAACAGAAAUCUCCACAACGAAAUUUGCCUUAUUUAUGGCACUGUCAGGUACACAAAAGUCACUCAGCCACUCAUCAUGGAAUGACAGCAGGUAAACUUAUUCCACCACAACCAGUCUCACCGCAAGAAACUCAACCACCGAUUGUUUGAACAGGGUGCUCUGCAGUCGCUGACCGAUUUGGCAUUAGUACUAGAUCGACGCUUGCGUCCCUAAAGAAUCAGAGAUGUCCGACAAUGGUGCCUCAGCGAUCAACCUUCUGUCUUAUGAGACACUGGUACACGCCGUGGCAGGUGCAGUGGGUAGCAUGACGGCGAUGUCCGUCUUCUUUCCUUUGGAUACAGCGAGGAUCAGACUUCAGGUGGAUGAGAAUCGGAAGUCCAAAUCGACUGCCAUUCUCCUGGCUGAAAUAGCAAAGGAGGAAGCCUGUUGUCUCUGUACAGAGGCUGGUUCCCAGUCAUCUCCAGUCUGUGCUGCUCCAACUUUGUCUACUUCUACACCUUCAACACACUGAAGAAAGUCAUGGUGGGUAAUCAGGGCCGGUCCAGCCCGGGAAAAGACCUCCUCAUGGGCUUCAUCCAGGGGCAGUGAACGUGCUCCUGACCACGCCCAUGUGGGUGGUCAACACCCGGCUCAAGCUGCAGGGGCAAAGUUCAGGAACGAAGACCUCCAGCAGACCCACUACAGAGGCAUCUUUGAUGCUUUCUCGAGAUCAUAGCCAGCGAGGGAGUGGGGACUCUUUGGAAUGGUACACUGCCUUCUCUGGUGCUGGUCUUCAACCCUGCAGUCGUGUUCAUGUUCUAUGAAGCCAUGAAGAGGAAAGCAGGCCGAGGAGGGAGGAAGAUUACAUCAGCAGAGAUCUUUCUCAUUGGAGCUGUGCCAAGGCCAUCGCUACCACGGCGACGUAUCCCCUGCAGACCGUCCAGGCAUACUAAGGGUAAACAAAUACACUGCA
Molecule: non-coding RNA, 1011 nt
Organism: Salvelinus sp. IW2-2015
Lineage: Eukaryota; Metazoa; Chordata; Actinopteri; Salmoniformes; Salmonidae
Source: RefSeq, a predicted model, not a curated record